This 533-nucleotide ribosomal RNA is filed under the name Fusarium redolens. RNAcentral's name for it is "eukaryotic LSU rRNA". The stretch from base 147 to 300 matches the Rfam family "5.8S ribosomal RNA". Lineage: Eukaryota; Fungi; Ascomycota; Sordariomycetes; Hypocreales; Nectriaceae. The record is from RNAcentral.
GGCUCGAGCUCGCUCCAGCCCCUGUGACAUACCUUACUGUUGCCUCGGCGGAUCAGCCCGCUCCCGGUAAAACGGGACGGCCCGCCAGAGGACCCCUAAACUCUGUUUCUAUAUGUAACUUCUGAGUAAAACCAUAAAUAAAUCAAAACUUUCAACAACGGAUCUCUUGGUUCUGGCAUCGAUGAAGAACGCAGCAAAAUGCGAUAAGUAAUGUGAAUUGCAGAAUUCAGUGAAUCAUCGAAUCUUUGAACGCACAUUGCGCCCGCCAGUAUUCUGGCGGGCAUGCCUGUUCGAGCGUCAUUUCAACCCUCAAGCCCUCGGGUUUGGUGUUGGGGAUCGGCGAGCCUUUCUGGCAAGCCGGCCCCGAAAUCUAGUGGCGGUCUCGCUGCAGCCUCCAUUGCGUAGUAGUAAAACCCUCGCAACUGGAACGCGGCGCGGCCAAGCCGUUAAACCCCCAACUUCUGAAUGUUGACCUCGGAUCAGGUAGGAAUACCCGCUGAACUUAAGCAUAUCAGUGGGGCGGGAGGAAAUAC